AAAGUCUGACCUGCCCUAUGAUUUAUAGUUAAAUGGCCGCGAUACUUUGAUCGUGCAAAGGUAGCAUAAUAAUUAGUUUUUUAAUUGGGAACUGGUAUGAACGGUUGGACGAGGGAAAGGCUGUCUCAGUUUAAUUUAAAUUAGAAUUUUAUAUUUAAGUAAAAAAGCUUAAAUAUCUUUAAAAGACGAGAAGACCCUAUAGAGUUUUAUAUAAAAUUAUAUUUCUAUUAGCUGAAGUAUUAAUAAUUUUAUUAAAUAAUUUUGUAUUUAGUUGGGGUGACUAAAAAAUUAAAAUAACUUUUUUUAUUGAUUUUACAUUGAUUUAUGAAUAAG
This 333-nucleotide ribosomal RNA is filed under the name Onitis sp. SM-2012. RNAcentral describes it as "partial 16S ribosomal RNA". Lineage: Eukaryota; Metazoa; Arthropoda; Insecta; Coleoptera; Scarabaeidae. The record is from RNAcentral.